UCAAUAUAAAUUGAUUAAAUUUUAUUUAUUAAAAUUUUGUUUAUUUUUAUUUAUAUUAUUAAAAGUAUUUAUAUAUUUAUAAUGUUUAGUAUUUUAAAAAAAUUAAAUAAUUUUUAUUAUAGUUGAUUAGUAUUGUAAAAGAAAAUUGAAAUAAUUUGAAAAAUCUUUGUUUUAAAAGAAAAUUUAAUUUAUUGUACCUUGUGUAUCAGGGUUUAUUAAAUAAAAAAUAUAAAAUAUAUUUUUCUCGAUUUUAAAAGAGUUAAUAAAUUAUUAAAGUUAAUGUAAUAAAUUUAUUUUAAAUAAUUUAUUAGAAAUGAAAUGUUAUUCGUUUUUAAAGGUAUCUAGUUUUUCAAGAAAUAAAUUUAAUUUAUAAAUAAAAAAUUUAUUUAAUUGAUUUUUUAAUUAAAUAAUUUUUUAUUUAAAUAUUUUAUGGGAUAAGCUUUAAAAUAAAGUUUUAAAAAUAAUAUUAUUUUUAAAUAAAUAUAUGCUUAGAAAUAGCAAUUAUUAAAAAAUUUGUUACAAUUUAUUUUGUUUAUUGAAUUAUUUAUUAUGUUUUAAGUAUAUAUUGAAAUAUUUUUUGUAAUUAUUAAAAAAAAGUAAUAAUGAUAAAAUUAGUAUAUUUUUUUGUAAAAAUAAAUUUUAAUGAAAAGUUUAUAUAAAGAACUCGGCAAAUUUAAUAUUCGCCUGUUUAACAAAAACAUGUCUUUUUGAAUUAAAUAUAAAGUUUGACCUGCCCACUGAAAAAUUUAAAUGGCCGCAGUAUUUUAACUGUGCAAAGGUAGCAUAAUCAUUAGUCCUUUAAUUGAAGGCUGGAAUGAAUGGUUGGACGAAAUAUUAACUGUUUCAUAUAAAUUUAUAGUAGAAUUUUAUUUUUUAGUUAGAAAGCUAAAAUUUAAUUAAAAGACGAGAAGACCCUAUAAAUCUUUAUAUUUUUUAAUAUAUAAAUUUUUUAGAUUUAUUUUAUUUUUAUUUUAAAAAAUAUUUUAUUGGGGUGAUAUUAAAAUUUAAAAAACUUUUAAUUUUUAUAUACAUUGAUUUAUGAUUUAUUGAUCCAUUAUUAGUGAUUAAAAAAUUAAGUUACUUUAGGGAUAACAGCGUAAUUUUUUUGGAGAGUUCUUAUCGAUAAAAAAGAUUGCGACCUCGAUGUUGGAUUAAGAUAUAAUUUUAGGUGUAGUCGCUUAAAUUUUAAGUCUGUUCGACUUU
This 1203-nucleotide ribosomal RNA is filed under the name Somatia sp. YSUW04038. RNAcentral describes it as "partial 16S ribosomal RNA". The record is from RNAcentral. Lineage: Eukaryota; Metazoa; Arthropoda; Insecta; Diptera; Somatiidae.